Morus notabilis is the source of this 323-nucleotide long non-coding RNA. RefSeq lists it as uncharacterized. The record is from RefSeq and is a predicted model, not a curated record. NCBI's taxonomy places the organism in Eukaryota, Viridiplantae, Streptophyta, Magnoliopsida, Rosales, Moraceae. The transcript has 3 exons.
GGUGAAUUAGGCUCAUGAAUUGGCACUCCAAGCAAGCCCUAUACUAGCUGUAACUGGCAUAAUGCUUUACAUAGGGUCAUUUUCGGCUGGAAUGGGAGCAGUUCCUUGGAUUGUAAUGUCUGAGAUUUUCCCUAUAAACAUCAAAGGACAAGCUGGAAGUUUAGCAACAUUAAUGAAUUGGUUUGGUGCAUGGUUGUGUUCCUACAGUUUCAACUUUCUGAUGGCCUGGAGUUCCUAUGGUAAGUAGAGCAACAAAUUUUCUUUCUUUUUCCCACCAAAAAGGAUAUUAGUUGAAAAAAUUCUGUGUAGGAUAUAUAAAAAAC